CCUACGGGUGGCAGCAGUGGGGAAUAUUGCACAAUGGGGGGAAGCCUGAUGCAGCAACGCCGCGUGGGUGAAGAAGUAUUUCGGUAUGUAAAGCCCUGUCAGCAGGGACGAAAAUGACGGUACCUGCCGAAGAAGCCCCGGCUAACUACGGGCCAGCAGCAGCGGUAAUACGUAGGGGGCAAGCGUUAUCCGGAUUUACUGGGUGUAAAGGGAGCGUAGACGGCAAGGCAAGUCUGGAGUGAAAGCCAGUGGCUCAACCACGGGACUGCUUUGGAAACUGUGUUGCUGGAGUGCAGGAGGGGUAAGCGGAAUUCCUAGUGUAGCGGUGAAAUGCGUAGAUAUUAGGAGGAACACCGGUGUCGAAGGCGGCUUACUGGACUGUAACUGACGUUGAGGCUCGAAGGCGUGGGGAGCAAACAGGAUUAGAUACCCCUGUAGUC
This 440-nucleotide ribosomal RNA is filed under the name uncultured bacterium. Its description in RNAcentral is "partial 16S ribosomal RNA". It matches the Rfam family "Bacterial small subunit ribosomal RNA", at positions 338 to 795 of the family's 1533-position model. The record is from RNAcentral.